UGCCUGGCACUUCCGAGCUUCCCAUUCUCUCUCUCCUCAGGCUAGCGCGGGUGGCCGGGGAGUCGUGGCGGGGACAAUGGAUGGGAAAAUCUGACGUGUUAAUCCAACUGGCACGUGGACCGGCUAACCUCCAACCUCCCCCAGAAGGACGCUGAAUUCCUUCAAACUUGGUGUGUGUCUUCCUCAAAGAGGGCCCCAUCGUUCUCCCUGCACCUGGCUUCAGGCGUCGGCAUUCCCGAUCAUCCUCGGACCUUCUGAACACGGGUUUCACUUAGAUGAAAAAGUCUUCUUCCAAGGGUGAAGUUCACCUCUGCCGUCUGAUCCUGCCGGCUAACAACCUAAGUAUCUUGAGGAAUUUCUCUGAGUGUCUCCGUUUAAAUCGCUUGUGGUUUCUGUUUGCAACUGGACUGACCUUUCCAGACCCAUUUCCUCAUCCUCCUGGAUAGGAGAGGCUGGUAAAUCGCAAUCCUCUUGGUUUAGUCUCCACGGCUGACCCUCGGGGAGAGAUCACUGUUUGGUGUGGCUUUGUUCUGGUGAUGCAACAGCCAAGCUAGAGCCCGAAACACUGUUUCCCUUUCUAAAAGCCCUUGCUGAUUUCGGGAAUGGGCUCUCUCCGCCCACACCUCUUUCCCCACCGAACCAAAUGGGACUUUUCCCAAGAGUUACUACAUGUUAAUAAACAUACUCAG
Molecule: long non-coding RNA, 689 nt
Organism: Ornithorhynchus anatinus (platypus)
Lineage: Eukaryota; Metazoa; Chordata; Mammalia; Monotremata; Ornithorhynchidae
Exons: 3
Source: RefSeq, a predicted model, not a curated record